This is a ribosomal RNA of 1201 nucleotides. It matches the Rfam family "Bacterial large subunit ribosomal RNA", at positions 857 to 2925 of the family's 2925-position model.
UCAGGAAAAGAAUUUAGUCCAACCUAAAGUAAUAUUAACUUACCUAUUUCCCAACUCCACUUUAGAGCAAUUCAAAUGAGGUCCAGCCCAUUUGAUACAGGAUCCAACCUUCACUAACGGGUAAUUUCCCCCCCGCGUCUAAAGUAGGCCUAAAAGCAGCCAUCUUUUAAAAAGCGUCUAAGCUUAACUACGCACACCUUAAUUCAUCGACCCACUCCGACCCCUUUAACAAUACUGAGAACCUCUAUAAUCCUAUAGAACAUUUUAUGCUAAAACUAGUAACAAGAGACUGUUCUCUCCUCAAUGCAAACAUAACCCAGCAAGAACCCAUCACCGGCAAUUAACAGGAUAAAAUACUUGUAACAACUCUUCCCCGAAAACCUUACUACUAACACUGUUAACCUAACACCAGAGCAUUUCAAGAAAGAUUAAAAGAAGGGGAAGGAACUCGGCAAAUAUUAGCCUCGCCUGUUUACCAAAAACAUCGCCUCUCGACUUCAUGAGAGGUCCAGCCUGCCCAGUGACUCUGUUCAACGGCCGCGGUAUACUAACCGUGCGAAGGUAGCGUAAUCACUUGUUUUUUAAAUAAGGACUAGUAUGAAAGGCAUCACGAGGGCUAAACUGUCUCCCCCCUCUAAUCAGUGAACCUAAUCUCCCCGUGAAGAAGCGGGGAUUCCCCUAUAAGACGAGAAGACCCUAUGGAGCUUUAAACACGUAACACUGCCUUAACCACUAACUACCCUGGUACACCCCCCCCCGGCACACUGAUUACAAGUUUUUGGUUGGGGUGACCGCGGAGAAAAACCCAUCCUCCACAAUGAAAGGGGCUCCCCCUAAACAAUGAGUCACAACUUUAAGUAUCAACAACUUGACAUCCAUUGACCCAACAAUUGAUCAACGAACCAAGUUACCCUAGGGAUAACAGCGCAAUCCACUUUGAGAGCUCCUAUCGACAAGUGGGCUUACGACCUCGAUGUUGGAUCGGGAUAACCUAGUGGUGCAACCGCUACUAAAGGUUCGUUUGUUCAACGAUUAAAACCCCACGUGAUCUGAGUUCAGACCGGAGCAAUCCAGGUCGGUUUCUAUCUAUAAAGAGCUUUUUUCAGUACGAAAGGACCAAAACAGCAUGGUCAAUACCCACGCAAACCAUCGCAAUUACUUUUUGAACCCAACUCAAAAAAUUAAUGCCUCCCCCCUCCCC